GAUGAACGCUGGCGGCGUGCCUAAUACAUGCAAGUCGAGCGAACGGACGAGAAGCUUGCUUCUCUGAUGUUAGCGGCGGACGGGUGAGUAACACGUGGAUAACCUACCUAUAAGACUGGGAUAACUUCGGGAAACCGUAGCUAAUACCGGAUAAUAUUUUGAACCUCAUGGUUCAAAAGUGAAAGACGGUCUUGCUGUCACUUAUAGAUGGAUCCGCGCUGCAUUAGCUAGUUGGUAAGGUAACGGCUUACCAAGGCAACGAUGCAUAGCCGACCUGAGAGGGUGAUCGGCCACACUGGAACUGAGACACGGUCCAGACUCCUACGGGAGGCAGCAGUAGGGAAUCUUCCGCAAUGGGCGAAAGCCUGACGGAGCAACGCCGCGUGAGUGAUGAAGGUCUUCGGAUCGUAAAACUCUGUUAUUAGGGAAGAACAUAUGUGUAAGUAAAUGUGCACAUCUUGACGGUACCUAAUCAGAAAGCCACGGCUAACUACGUG
Molecule: ribosomal RNA, 497 nt
Filed under: uncultured bacterium
Lineage: Bacteria
Description: partial 16S ribosomal RNA
Rfam family: Bacterial small subunit ribosomal RNA
Source: RNAcentral